Molecule: long non-coding RNA, 2261 nt
Organism: Dendronephthya gigantea
Lineage: Eukaryota; Metazoa; Cnidaria; Anthozoa; Malacalcyonacea; Nephtheidae
Exons: 3
Source: RefSeq, a predicted model, not a curated record
UCUCUUUGCAAUUCAAAUAUCGGAGGCAGGCAGCCCAGACAUAAGAAUGAUGAACAUUCUGUACUCCUGAAACCCAUCUAUAUGAAGAAAACAUGCAGUCGAUUAGUCGAUUGAGCACAAAGUUGAAUGAAAUUUUUGCUAAACACUUACAUCCCAAUCAAAGGAAGAUUAUAGAUUUUAGGAUCGGAUUCAAGUAGCAACAACAACUUUCUUGUUUGAUCCAUCGUCACAUAUCUAUAAGAGAAACACGGAGUCCCUUCGACAUCGCUUAGUCUCAGUGGUCCGGCUAAAUUUCGUGCCAAGGUCGUUUGGAUUAUGGGGAGAGGUGCAAUUGGUCGUGCCUGAAUUUUUGAAUCAGGUACUAUCGCACCACCUGGAAGCAGAUAAAUAGUAGAUUUUUAGCACACUGAUCUAUACAUUACCAAAUCUUGGAGAACCAGUAACUUGGUUGAAUGAAGGCAAAAGAAUUAGCAGAAUAAUUUCAAACCUGGAUUGCUUGGGCAAAUUCAUCUCUUGUAUGGCUGAUGGAAUCAUCUGAGAUUUGUAUUUCAUUCUUAACCUAUAGUAAAUACAAUAUCAAUUUUUUCACAGAACACUGUAUGGACUAUGGACAAAUCAUUUGAUGGAGUGUUUUCACAGAUGUCAAAUUUGCAUUGCAAGUUACAUAUAAUAUUAAACUGAUUAUUUAUGUUUGAAACAGAAUCUAAUGUCAUACUGUUAUUGGUAUGAUAUGAUCUCCAGGUACAACAGCUGUAGGCACUUUGGAUUUUGCUACAUUCUCCCCUGAAUGAAAAAAUGAAAAGGGUUUGGAGGAGUUUGCAUUUUGAAUGAGGUACUAGCUGUAAGGUUAUAGUUUUAUUUCUUAUCAUUGAAAGUAUGAGAUAUGACUACUCUAAGGUUAUAGUUUUAUUUUUUAAUUAUCAUUGAAAGGGUCAGAGAGAAGAUUAAAGAUUAAUCAUAUUUGAUUGACAUACACUGUACAUCUCAUUUUAUACUUGUACUCAUCAUUCCCUUUAACACAAUUGAUUUACUAUAUUUGAAUGUUUUAAAUGAUGAAUGAUAGCCAAUGCAAUGAACCUGAACUAAAUAAUAUAUAUUCUUUGUCUUGCACCUUUCACUAUAUUUCAAUUUCAGGGUCUGUAUAAAACAUAUGAUCAAUUCAUACCUACUAGUUCUUUGAUUUCCCUGCCUGGAUCAAAUCUAUCCACUCCAAAGCAAAUUCCACCUUCACCUUGAUGAAUGGGUACACAAUUAGCAGUGCAUUAAUUAGCAUAUUCCCAUCUUCCAAAGCAAAGUUAUAUUUAUUCAGACUUGACAUAAAUGUCCCCCUAGUAUAGUCAUGCAUGGCAGGCUAUGCAGGUGAUUACCCAAACAGGUUGCCAAAUCUUAAAUAUUAGUAUAAUCAACUCACUUGACUUUGGGUAAAUUGAACCCAAAAGAAAACUUGUCAGACGUUUGUCUUCAGCAUAUCUGUGCGCCAAUCUCAAGCUCUUCUCAACAAUGAACAACUGCACAACUCUGUUUCAUGUGGUGGCAAAAAAUUGAGGAUGUGAGAAGGAUGUUUUUCUAUCUUAUACAUUGGUAGCACUUUGGCAUUUUUUAUACACUCACUGUUUGUCCAAGAUAAGUGCCAGGGUUUCAAAAUCUCCAACAGGUUUACUUUCCCUAAUAGAAGCAAAAUUAGGAAAUUAAAAUGUUUUUAGUUAAUACAGAGAUGAAAUGUAUAGAGUGUAAUGUGUUAUGGAAUCACAAAAAACCACAAGCUUUGUAAAGUAUUUAUGAACAUCUCUUUACCAAAGUACAUUUCUCGUUGAUGGGAACUUGAUGGGCACAACAGCAUUUGGCUUUUGUGCUUGGCUAAAAACAGAAAAAAUAUAGUGAAACAGGUUCAUAAGAUGUAUGUAUUAAGUAUAUAGCAAUAGAAUGCAGGUGGUAUUUUAGACUUUAAACAUGGUUCAGGUUUAGUCAUCAAGUAGAGACCCCUGUCUACGCCUAUGGUACUCUGGAAACAUAUAUCCCAUCUGGAAAAUUUUGAGAUCUACAUAGAGUAUUACAAUACAUAAAGACGUGACCUUGCAAUGACCGUGCCAGCCUCACAAGUAGUUUCUUCUAAUGAGGGUAAGAAAAAAAGGGGAGAAAGCCACUCCUGUUUAUAGGCUCCAUGAUAUUCUAGGUCCCAUGCAUAUAGUAUGUAUAAAGCUCUGCCAGACAGAAUUGCCAAGCCCUGCACACACAGUUUAAUUAACUAGCCUGUUUCAUCC